UAUGAUCACAUCACGUUGAAGCACCAGUUCCCAUAUGAUUACUGAAGUUAGCAAUAUCGAGCCUGGUCAGUACCUAAUGGGUGACGACUUGGGAAUACCAGGUGUUGUAAG
This is a non-coding RNA of Acanthosepion pharaonis, 111 nucleotides long. Lineage: Eukaryota; Metazoa; Mollusca; Cephalopoda; Sepiida; Sepiidae. The record is from the annotation of a GenBank genome assembly.